AGAGUUUGAUCAUGGCUCAGGAUGAACGCUAGCGGCAGGCUUAAUACAUGCAAGUCGUACGGGAUCCGAGGUAGCAAUACUUUGGUGAGAGUGGCGCACGGGUGCGUAACACGUAUGCAACCUACCUUUAACCGGGACACAACCCACCGAAAGGUGAGCUAAUAUCCCAUAACACUGCGAAGUGGCAUCACUUUGCAGUUAAAACUCCGGUGGUUAUGGAUGGGCAUGCGCGACAUUAGCUAGUUGGUGAGGUAACGGCCCACCAAGGCUACGAUGUCUAGGGGUUCUGAGAGGAUUAUCCCCCACACUGGUACUGAGACACGGACCAGACUCCUACGGGAGGCAGCAGUAAGGAAUAUUGGUCAAUGGGCGCAAGCCUGAACCAGCCAUGCCGCGUGAAGGAUGACGGCCCUAUGGGUUGUAAACUUCUUUUGUACGGGAAAAAACCACCGGUCGUGUAUCGGUGCUGAUGGUACCGUAAGAAUAAGCAUCGGCUAACUCCGUG
Molecule: ribosomal RNA, 505 nt
Filed under: uncultured bacterium
Lineage: Bacteria
Description: bacterial SSU rRNA
Rfam family: Bacterial small subunit ribosomal RNA
Source: RNAcentral